Molecule: transfer RNA, 72 nt
Filed under: Pan troglodytes (chimpanzee)
Lineage: Eukaryota; Metazoa; Chordata; Mammalia; Primates; Hominidae
Description: tRNA-Ala (CGC) (tRNA-Ala-CGC-3-1)
Rfam family: tRNA
About the family: Transfer RNA (tRNA) molecules are approximately 80 nucleotides in length.
Source: Rfam by way of RNAcentral
GGGGGUGUAGCUCAGUGGUAGAGCGCGUGCUUCGCAUGUACGAGGCCCCGGGUUCGACCCCCGGCUUCUCCA